This 301-nucleotide ribosomal RNA is filed under the name uncultured bacterium. RNAcentral's name for it is "partial 16S ribosomal RNA". It matches the Rfam family "Bacterial small subunit ribosomal RNA", at positions 509 to 808 of the family's 1533-position model. The record is from RNAcentral.
CAGUAGCCACGGUAAUACGUAGGUCCCGAGCGUUGUCCGGAUUUAUUGGGCGUAAAGCGAGCGCAGGCGGUUAGACAAGUCUGAAGUUAAAGGCUGUGGCUUAACCAUAGUACGCUUUGGAAACUGUUUAACUUGAGUGCAAGAGGGGAGAGUGGAAUUCCAUGUGUAGCGGUGAAAUGCGUAGAUAUAUGGAGGAACACCGGUGGCGAAAGCGGCUCUCUGGCUUGUAACUGACGCUGAGGCUCGAAAGCGUGGGGCGCAAACAGGAUUAGAUACCCGAGUAGUCCCUGUCUCUUAUACA